AGUGAACGCUGGCGGCAGGCCUAACACAUGCAAGUCGAACGGCAGCACAGGGGAGCUUGCUCCCUGGGUGGCGAGUGGCGGACGGGUGAGGAAUACAUCGGAAUCUACCCUGUCGUGGGGGAUAACGUGGGGAAACUUACGCUAAUACCGCAUACGACCUCCGGGUGAAAGCAGGGGAUCGCAAGACCUUGCGCGAUUGGAUGAGCCGAUGUCCGAUUAGCUAGUUGGCGGGGUAAAGGCCCACCAAGGCGACGAUCGGUAGCUGGUCUGAGAGGAUGAUCAGCCACACUGGAACUGAGACACGGUCCAGACUCCUACGGGAGGCAGCAGUGGGGAAUAUUGGACAAUGGGCGAAAGCCUGAUCCAGCCAUGCCGCGUGGGUGAAGAAGGCCUUCGGGUUGUAAAGCCCUUUUGUUGGGAAAGAAAACUUUCCGGUUAAUACCCGGAGAGAAUGACGGUACCCAAAGAAUAAGCACCGGCUAACUUCGUG
Molecule: ribosomal RNA, 490 nt
Filed under: uncultured bacterium
Lineage: Bacteria
Description: partial 16S ribosomal RNA
Rfam family: Bacterial small subunit ribosomal RNA
Source: RNAcentral